This 352-nucleotide ribosomal RNA is filed under the name Staphylococcus aureus. RNAcentral describes it as "partial 23S ribosomal RNA". It matches the Rfam family "Bacterial large subunit ribosomal RNA", at positions 12 to 357 of the family's 2925-position model. The record is from RNAcentral. Lineage: Bacteria; Bacillati; Bacillota; Bacilli; Caryophanales; Staphylococcaceae.
UAAGGGCGCACGGUGGAUGCCUUGGCACUAGAAGCCGAUGAAGGACGUUACUAACGACGAUAUGCUUUGGGGAGCUGUAAGUAAGCUUUGAUCCAGAGAUUUCCGAAUGGGGAAACCCAGCAUGAGUUAUGUCAUGUUAUCGAUAUGUGAAUACAUAGCAUAUCAGAAGGCACACCCGGAGAACUGAAACAUCUUAGUACCCGGAGGAAGAGAAAGAAAAUUCGAUUCCCUUAGUAGCGGCGAGCGAAACGGGAAGAGCCCAAACCAACAAGCUUGCUUGUUGGGGUUGUAGGACACUCUAUACGGAGUUACAAAGGACGACAUUAGACGAAUCAUCUGGAAAGAUGAAUCA